GUGGGUCUCAGGGGCCCCUGGGGAGGGGGAAACGAUCAUAGCUAACACUCAGGGAAUAAAUGCACUUUAUUUUUCUUUUUUAUGUGUUUUCAUUUUACUUAUUCACUUUUUCGUAGAGAUGGGGGUCUCACUAUGUUGCCUAGGCUGGUCUCAAACUCCUAAGUUCAAGCGAUCCUCCUGCCACAGCCUCCCAAAGUUUUGGGAUUAUAGAGUGAGUUGACACUCCUAACCCAACAAAUGCACUUUGAAGUGAGUACUGCUAUCAUGCCCAUUUUACAGCUAGGUAAACUGAGGCCUGGAGCAGUUUUGCUCUUGUCGUGUGUGUGCGGGGGGGGGGCUUUUUUUUUUUUUUGGUAACUUGUUUAUACUGUUAGGUUAGGAAGUGGGUGACCCUCGAUUGGAACCCAGGCAUGUUGGCUGCAGUCCCUCAACUCUCAGAACUUGAACCCCCUCCCCCACGGGAUUGGUGGGGGUGGUUGGACACUAUGGUUCCCUGGGUUCCUGGUGACCCAGCUAAGGGCCUUUCUCAUGGGAUGCGCUUCCCCAGUCCCCCAGCGCAGCCUAGGCUCUGUGGCACCCCUACUUGCCCCCCUCCUGCCAGGACAGCGAGGCACUGGGAGGGACGGGAGGCGGCCUCAGGGGGCCUCCUCUCCCGGCUGAGGCUCGGCCUCGCCCUCCUCCAGGCUGGGAGGAUCCGCCGUCUGCGCCGCCGGCAGGGGGAGGGGGCGGGUUAUUUUUACCUCCCUCCAGGCAGCCGGGGCGACAGGAAGUGAGCGCGCGGCCCGCCAGAUGUGGGGAGCCAGGGAGCUGGGAACAGCCACAGCUGGACUGGCGGCCGGCCGGGAGCGGGGUUAGGGGGGAGGGUGUGUGGAGGGUGGAUCCCCAGGCCUCCGGUCCCCUCUUUGUUCCCCGCCGCCCCAGCCUCCCCUCCAAAGACCCCUCGUCCCCAUCCCCCGCUCAUGUGGGUCGUGGCCUCGCUGUCCCUCAUCUGGGCGCCAAUCCCCUCGCUGGCUCGAGGGCUCUCAGAUCCUGGGCAGGGAGGGGGACCCUGCCCCUCGCCCCAGGGACCCCCAGGUCCCAGCAGAGUCGGGGGUAAGAGGGGGAGACGGCCUCUCGCCGGCCCCGCCUGCCACCGCCAUUGUUUACCCGUCGGCUGCCUCCUAGGAAACUUAACCCGCCCGCGGUAAUUUUAUUUGGGAACUUCGGCCAGUUGCCAUAGCAACCCCCAGUGACGUCAGAGGGGCUGGGGCCCGAAAUCCCCGGGAAAGUGGGGGGGAUGGGAUGGGGGGGAGACCCCCAGAAGGGCUCUCCUUAACCCUCUGCGUACCAGAUCCCAGCCAGGCAGGGACAGCCAGAUGUGACACUUCUUGGGUGCGCCCCCCCAGUUCUGGCCUGGGGCCAGGUCAGGGUGGCAGGCCAGGCCUUGAUGUCAUCGGGAGCUGGGGAGACCCCCACCCCCACCCCAGGCCCGCCCUGGAAAUGCCAUUCUUGUGUGUAGCUGCUCAGAAGGCCAUGUGGUAAGUUGCUCCCACCUUCUGCGCCCCACCCUGAGUUGGGGAAUUCUG
RNAcentral lists this long non-coding RNA (1565 nucleotides) under Homo sapiens (human). RNAcentral describes it as "HSALNT0396220". Lineage: Eukaryota; Metazoa; Chordata; Mammalia; Primates; Hominidae. The record is from RNAcentral.